UGCAAGAUAGUUCACUGCUCGCUUUCCAAUUUCUGAGGCAGUUAUGAUCUAGUAUACGUUUCAGUUCUUUAGAAAUGAGCUGUAAAUUGGUCAACUGUUGGAUUGUUGAAGUCACACUUUACAAGUGGAAUAAAGCUCUUGUCUUUCUUAUUACUACAAGACUCAAGACUGAUGAUGAAACUGUUGCU
Molecule: long non-coding RNA, 188 nt
Organism: Xenia sp. Carnegie-2017
Lineage: Eukaryota; Metazoa; Cnidaria; Anthozoa; Malacalcyonacea; Xeniidae
Exons: 2
Source: RefSeq, a predicted model, not a curated record